UAUGGCCAUAUCACAUUGAAACAUUGCUUCCCGUACACUUACUGAAGUUAAGCAACGUUGAGCAUAGUCAGUACCGAGAUGGGUGACCAAUUGGAAAUUCCAGGUGCUGUAAG
Non-coding RNA from Acanthosepion pharaonis, 113 nucleotides. Lineage: Eukaryota; Metazoa; Mollusca; Cephalopoda; Sepiida; Sepiidae. The record is from the annotation of a GenBank genome assembly.